Molecule: ribosomal RNA, 492 nt
Filed under: uncultured bacterium
Lineage: Bacteria
Description: partial 16S ribosomal RNA
Rfam family: Bacterial small subunit ribosomal RNA
Source: RNAcentral
AGUGAACGCUGGCGGUAGGCCUAACACAUGCAAGUCGAACGGCAGCACAGUAAGAGCUUGCCCUUACGGGUGGCGAGUGGAGGACGGGUGAGGAAUACAUCGGAAUCUACUUUUUCGCGGGGGAUAACGUAGGGAAACUUACGCUAAUACGGCAUACGGCAUACGGGUGAAAGCAGGGGAUCAUCGGACCUUGUGCGUAUGAAUGAGCCGUUGGCGGAUUAGCUAGUUGGCGGGGUAAAGGCCCACCAAGGCGACGAUCCGUAGCUGGUCUGAGAGGAUGAUCGGCCACACUGGAACUGAGACACGGUCCAGACUCCUACGGGAGGCAGCAGUGGGGAACAUUGGGCAAUGGGCGAAAGCCUGACCCAGCCAUGCCGCGUGAGUGAAGAAGGACUUCGGUUUGUAAAGCCCUGUUGUUAGGAAAGAAAAGCUGCAGAUUAAUACCCCGCUGUAGUGACGGUACCUAAAGAGUAAGCACCGGCUAACUUCGUG